GUACACUCCUGCGGGAGGCAGCAGUGGGGAAUAUUGGACAAUGGGCGCAAGCCUGAUCCAGCCAUGCCGCGUGAGUGAUGAAGGCCCUCGGGUUGUAAAGCUCUUUCACCGGUGAAGAUAAUGACGGUAACCGGAGAAGAAGCCCCGGCUAACUUCGUGCCAGCAGCCGCGGUAAUACGAAGGGGGCUAGCGUUGUUCGGAUUUACUGGGCGGAAAGCGCACGUAGGCGGACUAUUAAGUCAGGGGUGAAAUCCCGGGGCUCAACCCCGGAACUGCCUUUGAUACUGGUAGUCUUGAGUUCGAGAGAGGUGAGUGGAAUUCCGAGUGUAGAGGUGAAAUUCGUAGAUAUUCGGAGGAACAACAGUGGCGAAGGCGGCUCACUGGCUCGAUACUGACGCUGAGGUGCGAAAGCGUGGGGAGCAAACAGGAUUAGAAACCCGGGUAGUCCCAUG
This 452-nucleotide ribosomal RNA is filed under the name uncultured organism. Its description in RNAcentral is "partial 16S ribosomal RNA". It matches the Rfam family "Bacterial small subunit ribosomal RNA", at positions 331 to 799 of the family's 1533-position model. The record is from RNAcentral.